This 634-nucleotide ribosomal RNA is filed under the name uncultured bacterium. RNAcentral describes it as "bacterial SSU rRNA". It matches the Rfam family "Bacterial small subunit ribosomal RNA", at positions 110 to 742 of the family's 1533-position model. The record is from RNAcentral.
GUAACACGUAUGCAACCUGCCCCUGUCAGGGGGACAACCCGCCGAAAGGCGGGCUAAACCCGCGUACAUGCCACCGGGGCAUCCCGGAGGCAGGAAAGGCUUCGGCCGGACAGGGAUGGGCAUGCGGCGCAUUAGGCAGUAGGCGGGGUAACGGCCCACCUAACCGACGAUGCGUAGGGGUUCUGAGAGGAAGGUCCCCCACACUGGUACUGAAACACGGACCAAACUCCUACGGGAGGCAGCAGUGAGGAAUAUUGGUCAAUGGUCGGGAGACUGAACCAGCCAAGCCGCGUGAGGGAGGAAGGUACAGAGUAUCGUAAACCUCUUUUGUCAGGGAACAAAGGCGGGGACGUGUCCCCGGAUGAGUGUACCUGAAGAAAAAGCAUCGGCUAACUCCGUGCCAGCAGCCGCGGUAAUACGGAGGAUGCGAGCGUUAUCCGGAUUUAUUGGGUUUAAAGGGUGCGCAGGCGGUCUGUUAAGUCAGCGGUCAAAGCCCGGGGCUCAACCCCGGCCCGCCGUUGAAACUGGCAGUCUCGAGUUGGACAGAAGUAUGCGGAAUGCGCGGUGUAGCGGUGAAAUGCAUAGAUAUCGCGCAGAACUCCGAUUGCGAAGGCAGCAUGCCGGCUCCACACUG